GACCACAUAGUUGUUAUUUUCGAUGUCAUUGCUUAUAUCCAUCUUUUUCUCUGUCUUCGCAGGUAAUAGAGUUCAAGAAGAGUUCUACAUUUGUUUUUUAUUCUAAAAAUUAGGAUUUUUUAGUUAAUGAUGAAAAAAAGACUUUUAGUUGUAUUAUCUUUGAGAAUGGAUUAACAAUUUUGUGUUUUGAUGCUAAAGAAGUAGGAAGCACCCAAAAAAACUCUAGUUUUGUCACAGUAUUUUAUUGACUGUCGUGGUAUUGUUGGAUGAUGUUUGUGGUGUUUGUUGGAGGAUGUUGUUGUAGGU
RNAcentral lists this long non-coding RNA (306 nucleotides) under Capsicum annuum. RNAcentral's name for it is "long non-coding RNA (CANN_LNC006262)". The record is from RNAcentral. Lineage: Eukaryota; Viridiplantae; Streptophyta; Magnoliopsida; Solanales; Solanaceae.